This 64-nucleotide transfer RNA is filed under the name Dipodomys ordii (Ord's kangaroo rat). It matches the Rfam family "tRNA". Rfam says of the family: Transfer RNA (tRNA) molecules are approximately 80 nucleotides in length. Their secondary structure includes four short double-helical elements and three loops (D, anti-codon, and T loops). Lineage: Eukaryota; Metazoa; Chordata; Mammalia; Rodentia; Heteromyidae. The record is from Rfam by way of RNAcentral.
GGUGGCUCAGUGGUAGAGUGCUUGCCUUGCAUGCAUGAAGCCCUGGGUUCAUUCCUCAGCACCA